UGCAUCGGGGAUCGAUUUAGCCAUGCUAGUUGCGCGAGUUCAGACUCGCAGCAGAUAGCUCAGUAACACGUGGUCAAGCUACCCUGCAGACACGGACAACCUCGGGAAACUGAGGCUAAUCCGCGAUACCGAUCCCACGCUGGAAUGCCGGGAUCCACAAACGCUCCGGCGCUGCAGGAUGCGGCUGCGGCCGAUUAGGUAGACGGUGGGGUAACGGCCCACCGUGCCGAUAAUCGGUACGGGUUGUGAGAGCAAGAGCCCGGAGACGGAAUCUGAGACAAGAUUCCGGGCCCUACGGGGCGCAGCAGGCGCGAAACCUUUACACUGCACGCAAGUGCGAUAAGGGGACUCCGAGUGCGAGGGCAUAUAGUCCUCGCUUUUGAGAACCGUAAGGUGGUUCUCGAAUAAGAGCUGGGCAAGACCGGUGCCAGCCGCCGCGGUAAUACCGGCAGCUCAAGUGAUGGCCAAUCUUAUUGGGCCUAAAGCGUCCGUAGCUGGCCGUGAAAGUUCGUCGGGAAAUCCAUCCGCUCAACGGAUGGGCGUCCGGCGAAAACUUCACGGCUUGGGACCGGAAGGCUCGAGGGGUACGUCCGGGGUAGGAGUGAAAUCCUGUAAUCCUGGACGGACCGCCGAUGGCGAAAGCACCUCGAGAAGACGGAUCCGACAGUGAGGGACGAAAGCUAGGGUCUCGAACCGGAUUAGAUACCCGGGUAGUCCUAGCCGUAAACGAUGUUCACUAGGUGUGGCACAGGCUACGAGCCUGUGCUGUGCCGUAGGGAAGCCGAGAAGUGAACCGCCUGGGAAGUACGUCCGCAAGGAUGAAACUUAAAGGAAUUGGCGGG
This 842-nucleotide ribosomal RNA is filed under the name Halogeometricum sp. enrichment culture clone SVC_E09. RNAcentral's name for it is "bacterial SSU rRNA". It matches the Rfam family "Archaeal small subunit ribosomal RNA", at positions 28 to 872 of the family's 1478-position model. Lineage: Archaea; Methanobacteriati; Methanobacteriota; Halobacteria; Halobacteriales; Haloferacaceae. The record is from RNAcentral.